AGGAUCCUCUCCUGAGCAACUUAAUGACCUGAGCUACCUGAGCUCUCUACGAGAUGACGACACGUGUCCAAACUCACAUCUAAUGGCUGCAAUGAAUUUAGGGUUCUGUCUCCAAUUUUUUUGAGUUUUAUGUUGCCGCGCUCUUGGUUUCGUUUCCCCGCGUUCUCCCUCUUUUGUUCUUGGCCUCUUCUGCUAUGAAAUAAAAAAACACAAGUCUUCAGUCUUUAAAUUCAAUGGCUGUGUGCGGGGAGAUCUAAUCAAAAGUUCAAAAUUUUAGCUUUGAGUCUUCUAUCUCACUUUCUCCUGCAUUUCAUUGCUACAGCCUACAGGUAAGUGUAAUACUCCUUUAUUUUGGGUUUUCUUUGAAAGUUCUCUCUUCAUAUUGUGUGUCUUAGAGUUUAGGAAUUCUGUAUUUGAUAUUGACGAAGAGGAAUUCCUAAUUUCUUGUUUUCCGGAAGAUAUCUCAUUAGUUUAGUUGAGAACAUUGUGUUCCUCAUGAUCUUGAUCUCAUUGUUAUUGUUUGAUUGUUGCUUGAUCUUGAUCUCAUUGUUUUCCUCUGAUUCGGGUUUGUUGUGUUGGUUGUGUUCUCUGUGUUGGUUGUUCUUUUUUAGUUGAGUAAUUGUCAAUUGAAGAUUAUUAUAGUUACUAUACAAGAAAUUGGUUGCAGAUGGAUAAAUCAUUGGGUGCUGCAGACUUUAAUAUUGAGAAUUCUGAUUUGGAGUUGGAUUGGAAACCUAGAAAAGGAAUGGAGUUUGAUUCUGGAACAAGAUAUUUCUGCAUCUUCACUUGGAUUUCUUGCUUGCAGUCAGGAGUUUGAUUUAAACAACGAUCCCCAAUGAAAUGCAUGUUUUCAUGGCCUCUGGAUAUGAAAGGUUGUGCAUCAUUCUGUUUUGUUUUUGUAAGAGAAGAGUUGCAGGCUUGUGUUUUGUUUUUAUAAGAAACUGAAAGGGCAAUUGUGUAGUGUAGGCUUCCGUACAGUUUUUGUAAAAAAUGGAGAAGGCAAUUGUGCAGUGGCUUCUGUAUAGUUUUUGUGAGAAAUGGAGAAGGCAAUUGGCUUCUGUAUAGCUUUAACUUUUAGUCAGAAAUGGAGAAGGCAAUUCUGCAGUGGCUUCUGUUUUGUUUUAGUCAGAAAUGUGCAGCCUUGUACUUGUUAUUGACAACUUUUAGUAACAAAGCUCACUGUUUUGUUUUUUUUAAGAGAGGGCAAAGGUGCAGCCUUGUACUUGCUAUUGACAACAAUUAGUCAUUAUGUUACCAAUUUCUGGGUUACAUAUAUAGAAUACCAAAAUGACUUCCAAACUGGUGUAUCU
Molecule: long non-coding RNA, 1310 nt
Organism: Rosa rugosa (rugosa rose)
Lineage: Eukaryota; Viridiplantae; Streptophyta; Magnoliopsida; Rosales; Rosaceae
Exons: 3
Source: RefSeq, a predicted model, not a curated record